Molecule: long non-coding RNA, 3230 nt
Filed under: Pan troglodytes (chimpanzee)
Lineage: Eukaryota; Metazoa; Chordata; Mammalia; Primates; Hominidae
Description: lincRNA
Source: RNAcentral
AUACCCAUAGUUACCACUGGGAGCAGGGUGGGCCGUUUACACUCCUCGUCCUACCUCGCCAUCACCUUAGGAAGCAGCCAUUCUCCUUGUCCUUACUGUAGAGGAGGAAGCCUGGACAGCCUGCAGUUGAGGGGACCUGCACAAGCUCACAGGACUCUUCAUCACCAUGACACCACCCUCACCGCAAAAUAAAAAUGAUUAAACCUGUCAUGAUGUCAGCAGCACCGGUGUUGGUCUUUGUGGGAAAGAAAAACACAGGCCAGGGCUGCAGCACCAUUGUGUCUGCCCAGCUUGCAGCCUGGAGAACACCGUUGGAUUCCCUCCCACACAUGCUCCCAGGCUGCCUGCCUGCCUCACUUACCUGCUCAGGGUGGGGCUUGAGGGUGGCCCCUGGGAAGAGUAAGAACUGGCCAAGACUGAGAUGUCCUUCCCUCAUUUAAGGUACCGCCUUUUCCCUUUUCCCGCCAUCCUGGGUGCAUGGAUACUUGGGAUUAGAAACUGGACUGGAAAUGUAAUCUUUCUUCGGUUUGGGGCUGAGAACUGGGGAUUAGUAGAUUUGAGUUUAUGGCACAGCCUUUUCUUACACCAUUUCCUAAAAGCAGUUAAGAUUACACCAGGCACGGUGGCUUACGCCUGUAAUCUCAGCACUUUGGGAGGCUGAGGCAGGUGGAUCACCUGAGGUCAGGAGUUCAAGACCAGCUUGACCAACAUGGUGAAACCCCAUCUCUACUAAAAAUACAAAAAUUAGCUGGGCGUGGUGGCAUGCAUUUGUAGUCCCGGCUACUUGGGAGGCUGAGGCAGGAGAAUCCCUUGAACCCGGGAGGCGGAGGUUGCGGUGAGCUGAGAUCGCACCAUUGCACUCCAGCAGCCUGGGCAACAAGAACGAAACUCCGUCUCAAAAAAAAAAAAAAAAAAAAAAAAUUACAGUCAUCUCCCAGAAAAAUCAAGAAGGAAGACCCUUGGAGGUUCAACCUAUAGAAGAUAUGUUCUCAUGGAAUAAACCAAAAAUAAUUUUUAUUUUUUAAAAAAAUCAAGAACAGAAGUCUCUCAACAUUUAAGUUUUACAAACAAAUAGAAUCUGAGCCACUGGGUUAAACAUGACAAACGACACACAGUAACAAAUAUUGAAGACAUCGUAAUGCCAAAGCAACAGAAGCAGCACCGGAAAUGUUGCUGAGGCCACCAUUUAAUUAACGCAAGUUGAACAUAUGGCUUUGGUUACAUGUGGUUCCAGGCCGGAGGCAUGAAAGUCAGUGUUUGUGGGAAAGCCAGGAGGAAAAGCUCCUCUCCCCACCCCCUUCUUGUCACUCCAGGUUCUGGUGACCCCAUCUCAGGACACGGCCUCCCAUUUCACUCCUGCACCAACCCCACUCUUGUAACACUGCACAUGCAAGAUGUGAGCAUCUUCAAAGUACGAAUAUUGCCUUCUUCAUUUUAGAAUCCAUGAUGUGCUUGUGGGGAGAAUGAAUGAAUGCUCAAACAUGAAUGGAGAGAGACAGAGAGGAAGUGCAGGUCUAACCAAGGAAACAUUCUUUCCUAGAAAAUCGUUGAUGAGCCCAGAAAGAGUUGGCUGAAUAACGGUAACAAUUCUUUUAUUAUUAUUUAACUUAUUAAGUUAUUAGAAAAAGUAAAACAGUGAGUCAAGGUUUUUGGAUUGGAAGAAGGGACCCACUGAGUUCCCUCCAGGAUUGUGGAGUUUCUUUUACAGCCAUAUGUGGAUAAGAAACUAAGGGCCACAGACCAAAUAACAGGUCGGAUGGCAACCCUGGAAAAGUCACACAGCUCAGCCUGUUGGAGGAAGAGGAGCAGUAGAACCUGUGUGGAGCCUGACAGAACCCAAGAUGCCAUUCACGAACCGCGAGGUCUUUCAAGAUCACACACAGUUCUACGACACAGACAUUUCAUCUUCUUGCUACUCAGUAGCGGGGCCCAUCCCUCUGUGCCUCCAAGGGACCACUUCACACACCCCUUUUUCGCCUCCAGAGUAGAUGGAACCGUGGAACGAGGGAAUCCUGCCCUCUGGUUGUGUCUGUCAUCUCCUACUGGGACCAGAGCCACAAAAGCCACAGAAGACCCAACUCUCUCCAGCAUGCAGGCAUCCCAACUAGAGGAAGCAAGGAGGCAGAGACCAAGAGGACAUCAAGAGGCGUUUGAACCCGCAGAGAGGGCCUGGCAGCACAAUGCUGAGCGAGAAAGAAUUGUGCCAUGAAAAAUGGAAAACUCCUGAGAAGCUGUUCCAGCGUCAGGAGAGCAGCAGACAAGCUGGACUGGGGAAGAUUCUUCUGCAAGACCUGCAGAGUGUAUGACACAUAACCAGCACCCAAGAAAUGUCUACCGAGGAAUUAAUGAAUGAGGUAAGUUGAAUGAAUGAAGCAAAGGUUUUUCAGGAAAUCCCGUGCCUUACCCCAAAUCAAUAAGUCUAAUACUGGGUUUCAGGCUACUGAAAAUGAAAUUUGAGGGCAAUAGACCUUUUGGGAGCAAUUUGCCUUUUAAAAUAUUAAAGUCCUUUAAAUAACACUACCUGGUGAGGAUGACGAGGAAAAAUAUAGGGCAUAGGGUGGCCUCCCCACAGGCAUUUUUCUUCUUUUCUCUUUCCUAACAGGGUCCCAUACUUCCUAGCCAUGCUGUUGGCAGGGAUUAACAUCGUUGCAAUUCUCUGGGUAGACCUUGGGAGGUUUAAACCAACCAGUGACCCCUAUCAUCCUAGCUCCAGAGAUUGGCUUAGGGAUAGUCACCCAAUGCAGGCCAAUGCAAGGUGACUUUGCCAGGGGCUUCUGGGAAAGAAGUUUCCUUUCUCUGAGGAAACGUGAAUGAGGACAUCCAUAACUCAGGUUGUGUCUGGCAGCCAUCUUGUGAUCAUCUGGCAAGACAGCCCAAGAAUAAAGCCGUCACCAUGGAGACUAAGAAGAGACAGAAAGACACUGGGUCUUCAUUGUCUCGUCCAGCUGUUCAUGAGGCCUUAUCUGAAGCCCACGUGACCUCUGGACUUCUCACUUACAUGAGAGAAUAAAGCUCUUUUUUGUUUAGACCAAAUAAAUACAUAAUACAAUUACAUAAUCCCUUGAUUCCUUUUUAUGACUGAGCUCAGAGACUAUAUUUUGUCAUUUUAAAUCACCUUUGUCUUACAGUUUAUUUAACUGAAACAAAUAAACAAACCAAAACACGCCAGUUUUUCACUCCUCUGUCAAAGCCUUUCCAAGAUCACUAAGCUUGUGAUGUCCUGGGUGAAU